This 311-nucleotide unclassified non-coding RNA is filed under the name Hevea brasiliensis (rubber tree). Lineage: Eukaryota; Viridiplantae; Streptophyta; Magnoliopsida; Malpighiales; Euphorbiaceae. The record is from RNAcentral.
GUUGGCUAAUUUAAAAGUUAUACUGAUAAAUAGGAUGAAAAUGCUUAAACAGCUAAAACAUCAACCUCGGUAAGUGUCAACCAAGGGGUAAUCCACGCAAUUCCUCCAGUAACUUGUGAUAGGACCAACAAGAUUUUGGACAGAUUAAUCUUUUCUGAGUUCCAUAUACUCAUGACGGAUACCAUCAGCAUUUAGGAUGACAAUUUCAAGCUUGUCUCCAGUGUAGAUAUCCCUCUCAGUUGCAGAUGCAAAAACAGUUUUCACUAAGUCAACAGCUUCCAAUUCUGAAAGUGGAGUUACAGCAUCCUGGG